Long non-coding RNA from Apus apus (common swift), 674 nucleotides. RefSeq lists it as uncharacterized. The transcript has 2 exons. NCBI's taxonomy places the organism in Eukaryota, Metazoa, Chordata, Aves, Apodiformes, Apodidae. The record is from RefSeq and is a predicted model, not a curated record.
GCGCGGCUGCCGUCACGCCCGGUUCCGCCGCGGGAGGGCGGGCCCUGCCGGCGCCAUCUUGGGGCGCGCCCGCCCCCGCCCCGGCCCGGCCCGGCCCGGCGGGGAGGGAGCGGGAGGGAGGCCGCGGGUCCGCCGCCCGGCGUGCUUCCCCUGCCCCGGGUUUCCCGAGUUCUGCCUUUUUGUGGUGUUUUUAAAGCUGUAUUAACUUUGGGGUGGGGGUGGAGGUUGCACGUUAUGGAGGAGGCCUGAACUGCGCUCCUGUGUCAAGCGCCUGGCUCUCCCGGCUCUCCCCUGGGAGGCAGAGGGCAAGGGCGGCUGCGCUUCGGUGGAGGAGAGGAGAGGAGAGGAGAGGAGAGGAGAGGAGAGGAGAGGCUUCUUUCCCGGGGGUGCUCUGGGGUGGCUCCCGCGUCAGGGAUUUGUGUCAGGUCGCUGGGUCUUCAGCUCUAAGAAAAAAUUUAAAAAUCCAGGAAGCGUAAAUAAUGGAGUGAGAUAAAUCCCUAGGGAUUCAUGUACACUGGUGGACAUCCACGCUGUUCUGUUCUGUCAAUGGUCAGCAGUGCUCAUGCAAGAUGUGUUCGGGGUUUUUCUGAGUUUCUAGCUAAACUGUUGUGUAAAACAUAAAUUGUGACAAAUGUAAAAUAAAAUUUGAUCUUCCUGUCUCAGGAGGACUUUGA